UAUGAUAUAUAAAUACCACAGCAUAGCUGUGAUUCUAAAUGCACAUAUGCACAUAAAGAAACAACUUGAAAAUUACCAGCAGCGGCAAUACCAUGUUUUCCACAGCACUAGACUUGUGCAUAGCAAUUUAGAAAUCUCAUGUUACUUGCUGAUGAUAGUAUCAUGGAAUAUUUAAAUGGCACUGCCCAUACCUACAGCCACAUUUUUAGCCUGGUUUGGUCUGGUGCUUUAAAAUCCUGUGUCGUCCUGAAAAAAUGAUUUUCAUGGUCUAGGUGAGUUCCUAUAAGAAUGGUACUUCCUUUCUAGUAUCUUAGAGCUUCGAGACUACUGUUGUUUGACUUUAAAUUACAAAGCUAAGAGUAUCUGAAAUGCUUUCUCUAAAUCCUUUUUUAAUUAAUGAAGUUGAUCAAAAUCGAUAUACCAGAAAGCCAGCAAUUCUACUUUUAAUUACCAGUAUGCCUCUGAAGCCCUAAGUGUUAUUCUUGGAAAUAACAGUCCUGUGUGACAAUGAGGCUAUUUUAAGAUACACUACCUUGUGAAGGCAGCUUCAAAUUAAUUUAACACUAUGAUUAUGAUUACAUAUACAUGUGCACCAAAAGGUACUCAGCUAGACCAACUAUCCUAAUCUUCUAGUACUGCAGUUAUUUAAACUCAUUCCUUUUUAUCUUUCAUGUAAUACAGCUGUUUCCCUAUUGAUACUAUCGUUCUGCUUUUGUAUACUCGUUUUUGACAUUAAUGUUUCUGCUGUCCUAUUUUCUUCUCCACAAGAGUAACUUCCUUUCUUCUGUUUGAUAAAAGCAGAAUGCUGUGACUAAGCAAGUGGAUGAGUUUAAUCACAUACCCAGAAAUAUCAGUUCCAAGGAUUUUUUUUUUAAUGUUAAUUUGAUAAUAUACUUGUUUCUAUGCAUAUUGCAUAUGUUCAAGGACAAAAAAGAUUUCUAAUAAAGAAAGUGGAUUGAACUACACAAAGUGAAAAUUGCUACCAGCUGGAGGGAAGGUGCAGUAAUGGCAACUGGCCAUAAGAAAUGCAGAAACAAUGAAGAGGCAGGUAGCAGGUAUCUGCCCAGAGACAGAUGCCCUUGAACUACAGAAAGCCACAAAGUAGUAAUAAAAGAGACAGGAAAAGAAAGAUAAAUGGAUUUUUCUUUAUAUUCCAAGCAUUACUAUUACAGAAUAAGCACACAGUGGGAAACUGUCAAUAAUCUUCUAGACAAAAGUCAUAGUGAAAAUAUUAAUAAAAAUAUGUACAUUAUUUUAUGACAUCUAUCUAUUCUGGUGGCAUUUCAUAAAAUAGAAAAAACAUCCCAUAUUUGUAACCAAAAAUAUCAUCCAACAGCUUUUAAUAUGAAGUCUAUUUUUUAGCAUAAUCAAAUUCACAGGCUCUGAUUCCAGUUCAUGGAGCAAACAAGGUGUGGUGUCUGUUGCAGGUUAUCAUUUCCCUGGCAAAGCCAGCAAAAUGGAAAACUUACCUCGAGGUCAGUAAAUCCAGUAGUGAUAAUGUAAUUGGAGGUUACUUAAAGGUAAUCAGAAUUCUCUGAGGCCUUUGGUUUCUUAACUAAAAAGUCUGAGCUCUUGGUUGAGGCCCAACUCUGUGCGCAGCGUAGGACUGCUCCAUGAAGACUGGGGCUGAAAAGUGCUUUUUUGAGAGCCUAUAGACCCAGCGUUGUACAUUUUGUACAGCAAGCUUCCAAUGCAGUUUCUGAUAGCUGAGAAGAAAAGAAAACAGACAGAGAACUAGAAGAGGGGAAGGCUCUGCCUUACCAAACAACUGGGAGAGGAAGAGGCUGGGACCGGGCAUGCUGAAUACUAAUUGCCUGUAUGUUGAACAGGAGCUCAAGACAUGAGUAUGUCGACUACAGAGGCUGCAACAGGCAGCAGCCAUCAGCCUGUGCAAUACAGCACAUGAACUCUCUUGUUACCAGCGCUUGAAGACAGACGCCCUUUUUACUCUUGAUCUACACUACCAUGCCAGAGAGUGACCUGAAAUGGCUGAGGCAGGCACUUGCUCUUUUCUGCUGUGUGAUAGCAGCCUGGGGCAGAAAAGUAGGGGUGGUAAUGUCAGACAACCACAGCAAGAUUUACUGCAUUAUGUUUAGCACAGCAUUUAUUUCCAAGUAGUCUGAAUGUGUCAAAGGACACAAAAACUAAAAUUAUGUAGUACCUUAGUCCUGGAAGUAUUCUGAACCCAAAUGCUUCAUUUCCUUCUAAACUAUGUGGGUUAGUUUAGACAACAGAAUUAUUUGCCUAAGAACAUCAGUCUGUGCAGCAGCUCAUCUUUGUGAAAUUUGCUAGUGCCAAGCAAGUUCUUUGCUGAGUUCACAGAGUGCAAAACUCUUCCUGUUGCACUAAGAGGUCAAGAUGGGGGGAAGAGGGGAGGGAAACGUGUCAAAAAUUAUAUUUUUAUACGCAGCCAGCAGUCUGCGAAAAAUGUAAGAUGACAAGAGCAUGCAGUGAUUCACAGUGGCUCCAGGACUUCUUUGGAUUACUGGGAGAAACUUUCAGCUCUGAUUUUUUUGAGCAGCAGGAAAAGUAUUGUUACUGAAGAGUUGUUUUAACCAAAAGAUUAUUCAAGAUAAUUAAAGGGAAAAGCAGCAAACUGGAGAAGAUGCCUUUCCUUAAUCUUCUGUAAUUUCAAAAACAUUGACUCUGGUGACUAUCCAUCCUUUUUAAGUGUAAGACCUUCAAGGUGUUAAGCAUUCUCAACUGCAAUCUCCCAUGGGAAUAUAAAAAAAAAAUGUUUUGCACAUCUCAAGGGAACAAUAGCCAUUUUGCAAAAUCUCAGUUUUAUAUGUAUGCUAAAAUGGAUGAAAUUUGUGAAAUAAUAAUGAGAAUCCUGUCACAUACAACUAAAACUCUUGAAACUUCAUAAAGAAAGUGGGAAGUGCUAUCUUUACCAUACUUCAUGGUACAGUUGGGAUUCAGCAGAAUUUGAAGCAAGAAAGCCUGUAAACAGUUUUGUAAUUUUGAAGGAUACUGCAAAGAUCAUAAAAUAUAAGACUAUUGUUUUAAUAGGUGAAAGAAAAAAGAACUUAUACAAAAAAACCUCAAGGAAUACUUUCCAAAAUUAAGUUCUUAAGAGUAGUUUUGAGAGAGAGAAUAUAUGGAAAAGAAGAUGUAACAAGGAGUUAGAGGGUUAGGAAUGAAGUAAAAUAAAUGUAGUGGAAUACCAGCUAGAAGAAGCUAAUCAACAGUUCUGUAACAUUUUCAAUUUUCCCUAAUCUAGAAGAAAAAAAGAGGAAAGAAAGCAGUGUUUCCAAGGGUACCAUAUUGCAAUGAAUUAAUAUCUCUACCAGUCUGCAUCUGCCUCUUUCUGGGGUUAAUGUUUUUUCUGGUAUAGUGAGAUCUCUUGCUACCCAUUAUGCAGGGCGAAUGGGCCUGGAGCGAACUUUGCUAUAGCAAUGUUAACUAUAGUGCUGAUUUGCCACCUGUGAGCAUAGUUCAGUGAUGGAAUCAUGGUCUUUAGAACAAUCGCAUGUAAGUAUUUCAAAUAGGUGCUACAAAUCAGUAUACAGAUGGUAGCUUCUCUCAGUACUCAACUGUAAUACCACUGUCACAGAACUCAAGUUAUUUCGUACUGCUGUUUGUACAUGAUAAUAGACUUGUGGAGAAAAUAAAGAAGAGCGUGAACAUCUCUAAAUGGAAUGCAAGGCAGGAGGAAGCAGAGAAGCAAACAAAAAGCAAAGACUGAAUAUUUCAUAAAUUACAAAAAUUAUGGGGAAAAAUUAAACCGAUCCUCUAUCUCUUCAAAAAGAUUUGUAGACAAAAUACCUGCACAAUCCAAACUGCAAAAAGACCCACAAAACGUCAACAGCUAAACGCUACUUAAUGUACUCCCGAAGUGCAAGGAUAUGUUAGAAAACAAAAGUAUCAUCCUGCAGAUUGUGGAUGAAACUGUUGAACAUGAAAUAAAGAAUCUAAUUAUGUACCUGUAAUAUGAACAUUCAGCUUAUUGAAUAGCUUACUUGCAGGAAUUCUCUUAAAAUUAAAGUUCACAUUUUAAGACACACAUUAGAGACUGCAAAAAAAUGCAGCAAGGCUUCCACAGUUCAAAGUUUUAAACGAGAAGGGUAAUGAAAUUUGCUUCCAUCAACAUAUGGAUAGAGAAGCCUGAUCUCCAGGUUUCUAAAUGAGGUGGAAUUCAUAUGAAAUGACUGAAACCAGGUUCAAAUUAAAUCCAACAGAAGCUGACCAAGAAGGCUUAUUUUCAAUAAAUGCAUUGUAUGAGGAAGGUGAAACAGUUGAUGGCAUUCAGGUAGGAAACACAUAAAGCCAGACAGUAAGUAGUGCAUUCCAAGAAACAAACAAAAAUAAAAAGCAACAGGUUUUGGACAAGCAUAAUCAAUCUACUGUUUUUCAGAAGAUUAGCUGGCCUGGAAUCUUACUCACUGAAAUCAACAACAAAGUCAUAACAACUUUGGUUAGAGCAGAGUAUCAAAGCCAGAUUCUGUUCCAGAUCAGAAAUGUACCUACUCAAAGUUAUAUUUUUAUUGCGGUAGAAAUACAGAACAUAAUAAAAAUGGGUUUUUUAGACCCCAGCUUAAGUCAGGGAAAAAUUUUAGACCCAAGUUUGGCUGUAGCUACUGCGAGAACUGAAAGAAAUAAGACCACAGAAAUCUUCCAAGAAAAAGAGAAAGAAGAUACAAGGAAAAAAGCAGCUACAUUUCCUCCAGACUUUCUUCAUGACUGCAAGAAAUCUAGUGGCUGCUAGUAUUGCUAUCUGGCUCAAUCAUCUCAAUUUUGUAAGAUAUCUGCUGCAGUAACAGGUGGUGGAGUAACGCUUUUGCUCUCAAAUGUUUCCCUGCGACCCUCAGACGAGGACUCUUUCAAAGACCUGACGGCAAGUUAGGUAAGACAAUGCACUUAUUUGAACAGUGCAGAAAUCUGUGCAAGUAUUGUACAUCCAACGUUUAAAAUGAAUGGCUAGAAUCUUUGCUGGAAAAGCAAAUCUUAAGCAGAACUUAACGCUACCAAGACCCACCAUACCAUAACUAGCAACACCCUCUACUGGGUUUAAAAAAAGGUGAAUCCAACAGGCAUUGGGAGCUGCAAAGUGCAAAGGAUGCAACAAAUCUACAAAUCAUGGCGCUGGAACACCUUACCAGCAAGUGAGCUACCUGGAACACUUGGAGCAACUAGAAAAUAGUGUUUUCCAGAGACUGGUAGGAACUGAAAAGACUUCUUAGCACACAGCAAAAUACUGAGCUGCAUGCUAGAAUCCCAGAGGUUCCUCAGUGAGUUUGCCAUUAUUAUUAUCAAUCAGCAGUAAGAAAAAUAAUACCUUACAGAGGUCAUUUUUCUAUGGCAUAAGCUUUAGAAAGAUUCAAAAUACUCAGGAGAUAAACACAAUUAAUAUAAAGCAGUUGUUUAAAUUGAGAUUAUUUAAUUUUAAAUAUUGUAUUUAUGUCAAUAAAAAUGAAAGCGUAAAACAAAAGUAUCUGGAAUUAAAAAGGACAAUUUUUCUAGGGCCUUAUUCUCUCCUUUAUGGCAUUCUGUAUAUUCAUUCAUUUCUGUGCAAACCAGAAGUAAAACUAAGAUUCUCUACUCAGUAUUUCGGACAGUCAUUUGCACUAAUUUUAUCUAUUAUCUAACAGAUAGUGGUGACAUGACAAAGUGAGAGUUGACCUCUAUUUGCAGAUUACACAAGUAACUUUGUGUGUGUAUAUAUGUGCAUUUUUGAGACAGAAUUUUGCUGCUCAAGACUCAACCGACUGUAUAUUCUUUUGUCUGAAAUAUAGACUCUCAGUUUAAAAUGUAAACCCCAGCUCUCAGCUCUCAGUUUAAAAUGUAAACCCCAAAAUUGCUCAGCUAUUUUGCAGGGAGAAACCCAAUAUUUAAAAAGAGUAGUCAUCAAUAAAUAGUUGCAGAAAGUGUUAAUUAUUAGAGAUGAUUAGGUCCUGAGGAAGUUCAACAUUAAGCAGAAGUUCACAGUGAAUUACUUCUAUUUGAAAUAAUGUUUUUCAAACGCGUGGAUUCUUACGGAAAUCCUACAUUACAUAAGCACUAAGUAUGAUUUUGCAAUAACAUACAAGCAGUGGACAGGAAUUAUAGAGAGCAGAAUCAAUGCUAAAGCUUUGAAAAUAAUUCAUUUAUAUAGCUACCCUACUGUAACUCAUGUGAGGUGAUUCACAGGUAAAACGGAUACAGUAAAGAAAAAUUUGUGACUUACAGAUAAAAAGAAAGUUCAGAACUUGUGCAGUUCAGUGGCUUUGAAGGAUCCCAUUGACAGAUUAAGGUCCUUAAACCAUCAUAGUCAGAUACAACUCUUACGUCUCAUAACUCUCUUAAAAGCAGGUGAGAAGGCUACGUAUCUGCAAAUACCUUUCAACCAUUAACUGCUGGUUAGAUUGAAUAAGGCCAGCCUUCUACACACUGUACUGCUUUCAUACUAGCUCUAUUCACAGCUUAGGUACAUAACAUUUUAUGCUAAUUCCUUAGAACGAAAAUUGAGGGGAAAAAACUGCCACAGUUCCCUGCUGAGCAUGUGAAAUUAAACUGCUGUCUAUUUGUUAAAUUUUAACAUGCAGAGCUGUGCACUGCAAUGACUGCAAAGCCAACAUUCCUUCGGUUCUGCUGCCCUGUUAUGGGACAGGCGCUGCCAAUUGAGUAGUUGAGCAGACAGAUGCAGUAAACUCUUUAGGCGACUUGUCAAGAAAUUAAUCUACUAGGGCUCUACAGCCAUGGUCAAACACUUCAGAAACAGCUGUGAUAGUAAAAGAAAAAACAUCUUAAAACUAAUUCUUUACCAUCCCCAAGUCCCAGCAAGUAAAAUAGACUUCCUGAGCCAGCUGGGAUAGGCUGAACCACAUUCAACAACAGUUAAAGAUGACUGAAUUUGCUAUGCCACUAGGUCUAUGUUGGAAGGUACCUGCAGUCCAGUUGUGUUAAGGCCUCUCAGGAGAGGGAACAUACCCAACAGCUGCGGAGCGGUUGGCAGAGAUGGGCUAUGGGAGAAAGUAGGCAAUGGAAUUCUCAAAAAUUUUUCUGUUGCAACCUCGCAAGCAGAGAUCAUAGCAGGAGUUAAAUCUGAAAGGGUUAAAACUUGGUUAAAUAUGUAGAUUUUCAUGCACAUAACAAAAAGCAUAUGCUCAACAGACAGGCCACUUUCUUGCCAACAUCAAAACUCUCUUCCAAGCCUUUGGGUCAUUCCAGCAUUUCAAAGGAAAAAGUUGCCAGAUCUUUGUUUUUUAAUGAGGACAAUAUAGCACAUUGUCCCCUUGCCUAAUUUUAAAUUAAAAUUGUUUAUCAUGUUUAUACACUAUAAUCAGAAAACAUUUCUGUUUUAAGUUCUCUUAUUUGUGAUAGUUAAUGUAUUAUUAAUGUAAAUCAUUCUACAAAUAAAGAGUGGGUCAAAGUUUGUUCUCCAAGUUUCACGGUUUCUUUUUAAAUAAAUGAAUCUUCAAAACUUAACUAAAGCAUCCUGCAGAAAUGGCAAGGGCAUUCAUCACUGCCUUUGAUUAUUUGGUUUUCAUGGCACAAAUGCUAUUUUUGUAAAGGAUUGCUAUAGUAUUCAGAAUUAGCCAGACUAAAUCCCAUACUUUAUUGCACCUGGAUAUUGAGUGAAGCAACAUAAUUUUCAGCAAGCAAUACUUAUUUAGAAUAUUGAAAUGGUGAGACUUUACAAGGUGCCAUUAAUCCUACACAAUCUGAGGCUUAAAAUUUCUUUUACUGUUAAUUGUAUUCUUCAUAUGCAAGAAAUACUCUUAACGUUAUGGGAUUACAAGCAGAAAUACCACAACAUUGACCUGUGUAAAAUUAGAACGCUUUUAGAAUUUCCUCUUACUAAGUUUCUAAAUGCUCUACUGUACAUUACUUAGCAUUCUUCAGUUUUUGAAACCUAGUAAAUCAUUUGCUAUCUGAAAAGUUUUUAACUAUAUGAGCUUUAACUGACGAGUUCAUAUGUACAUCAGUCAGGAGAAACGCAAGUAAAGAAUUUGAUUUGAAAACAGUGAGUAUGAUACUGAAAGUGAGGUUUUGAGGUUUGCUGUUGAAGCUAAGCCAAUAUGUUGACCAGGUGGUAUUCAUAUCAUAAUAGGUUUCCCUUGCCUCUGGCCACAAGUUUCCACCUCCUACCUUGUGAACCGGUAUCAGUGCUUCUCUGACCCUCUACAGUAAGUUCAGUGAGUGAACCAAACAAAAGAUUAUCCUUACAAAAAAGGAAAAUCAUCUUCUGCCAGAUUAGUUCCCUGAACUAUCAUAGGAGAGGGGCAAGAACCUGGAGGUCAAGAAGACAGUUCUCGUCAGGAGUAGCUCUCAGAUUAGUUUAGCCAGAUAAGCAAACUGCACGCUGAGAGUACCACAAAACCAAGCAGAAGUGAUGUAGCACUAAUGCUUUUACAGAAAGUUUACUGUAUGCACAUCAAAAAAUAUGGAUGAUGUUAUUUCUGUCUUUAAAUUGUAGCAGAAAAAAGAGACAUUUGGGGUUAAGGGGUGACAAAAGCCAAAACUAUGCUUCUAAGUCUUUGGUCUUUUAUGUGGCUGGAUUAUUAAUACAACUACAAAGUAUUAUCAAAUAAGACUCAGUCUCAUUACCGUGAGUCAUGAAAAAGCAGCAAAUAUAGCAUACAGAAAUAAAUUAUUCUUAAUGUAUCAAGAAAUAAUCAACAAGGCUUUGUGCGGCUAUGAUGUGCUAAAUGUGAUUUUUUUUUAACUACUAAAAUAAUACUUUAAAAUUAUAGAAUUUAAUUUGAAACGGACCACUGAAAGCCUCUAAUCCAACCUCCUGCUCAACAUUUGACUAACUUUUAAGUUAGAGCAGGUUGCUCUGCGGGUUAUCUGGUAAAAUUUAGAUUCCACCCACCCCAGCCUUCUUCAGGUUGAACCAACUCUGUUCCCUCAGCGGGGGAAUCAUCUUGGUGGUCCUCUGCUGGUCCCUCACCAGUUUGUUUGUCUCUCUGGGGGUACAAAAACUGGACAUAGUAGUCCAGAUGCAGUCUCACAGGUGCUGGUGAGAGAUGAAUAAUUACUUAACCAGUCAGUUGGCAAAACUCUUGCUAACGCAGUCUGGUAUGUAGUUAGUGCUCAUUGCUGCAAGGGCACACUGCUGACUCAGGUUCUACUUGUUUUCUACUGGGAUGCCCAGUCCUUUUCUGCAGAGCUGACGCCUAGCCAGUCAGUCUGGCUCUUCCAUUUCUUAAGAUUAUUCCACCCAGGUGCAAGACUUUACGUUUGUAUUUGUUGGAUUUCGUUACGCUCCUGUCAGCCCAUUCCUUCAGCUUGUCAAGGUCUGUGUGAAUGCCAGGCCUGCCCUUCUGUGCAUUCACCACACCUCUUCAGUUUGACCUCAUUUACGAACUUGUUGAUGCUUCAUCGCACCUCACUGUUCAGAUUGCUGCAGAUGUUAAAAAGAAGCAGCCCUAUACUGAUCACCGUGAACUGCCACUUAAAACUGGCUGCCAGUCAGAUUUUAAAGCAUUCACUUGGUGAAGUGAAGGUAAUUAAUAUCCACUGCUCUCUUCUCCUCCACAGAACCUGACAGUUCACCACAGAAGCCAGUUAGGUUGUCAGACCUGAGCCACUUUGCCUUCUGAGAACUGUAUACAGUCCCUCAUAAAGCUUUGUAUACGCUGAUUAUUUUAAUACCAUGCAGUCCAAUAAACAACAACCAGAAAAUGAGUUUGAGAUAGAUUAUAGAAAAUGUUAUGACUAUACCUUUAUAGCCUUCUUAUCAGUUUGCCUUAUGUAUGUCAGUCAGUAUGUCUGAAUAGUUUAUAAGAAAUUGGGGGAAAAAUUAUGGAAUUGGCUUUUGUUGCAUCAGUGUUUCUUGUGAUCCUGAUUCAUAUAUAAUGUGAGGUUCUACUCAGAGAAGUACUACCUGCAUCUCUUUAUGAUUUGUAUAAAGCAGCUGCCUUUGUAACUAACCCCUUUUAUAGUAUGUGGUGUGUCAAUUCUCAUUUUUCAUAUUGUAGUCCACUCUGAUACCUGUUUACAUAGUCUGUAUAUAAGAAGCACUCAAGUAAACAGCACUGUGUGAAAUGUAAACUGCCACCAGUACAGCUCAUAAGAAAAAUACUCAAACUGUUAAGAAAAUACAUUUGAAACUAUGCACAUGUCACAAUGUGGGAGACCUAUCUAUGUACAAAACAUGAAUCCCCAUUGCGGUUAUGAAAUUGCUGUAUCAUUAAAUACCUCAGAGGAUGUGAAGUCAACCAUAUGCUGUCAGGGCUGAGUCAUACGUGUCUCAGCCAUGGGACUGUGGGAGAUGUCCCACCCUAGUGGCUCCUACUCAAGAGGGAAAAAAUUAGGACAACGAAGUGCCUGAGCCAGACAGCAAUCAAUUCACCCAAACUCUUCCAGCAAGGCCAUGUUUUGGAGCUGUGGAAUUUCCCCAAAAGCUGAAAGCAAGAUCACAUGUUACGACCAGACCCCAAAAACUACAGAACUCACAGCUUUGGGAAAUGCCGUGAAUCACAGAUUGACAGAAGACUUGCGCAGGGAAGAGGAACAGAGAGGCAUGAUUUCCUUACCGUGGGCCAGCCAAGUGAGAAGAAAACUAACUUCAGAAUACAGACACAGACAUGCAUGCAAUGUAAUUUAGAAAAGUUAUGUACAGAAAUGGAUGGCGCAGAGGGCACAGACUAAGCCCAAAAUGAUGUUCAGAACUGAGGAGGGGAAGUACAUACUGUGUGUUUAGUGCUUUCUCAUCUGUAUGAUAUUUUGUGCGAGGUAAUGCAAGGAGUCAUCGAUUUUAUGGAAUUUUUACAAUACCUGUAAAGAAACCAGAGUGAAACCCGGACAAAAAAGUAAACCAGAGGGAAACCUUCUUCUGUCUCCAACUCAGAUGAAGCAAAGCAUAAAGGUAUAUGGGCUUAGUGAGAUAAACGUGAAACAAAGCAAUCCAGUCAGCUUCCAGCUAAUGGAACAUUAACAGGGCUGUGACACACCUGUGUUUCUUCUCAGAAUCUCAACUUGGAAAAUCACAGGUCCGUUGUCCAGUCUUCACCCUUAAUAAAAAUCAGCAUAGUUAUGAUGAUUUUAGCAAAAACUCUAUGCAAUUAUACUUCAAAAAUGGCUCUUUAUUGCUUCAGCGUGUCAUUCACUAGUCAAAUAAAUUUGCCAAAAUUUGAGUUAUUAUUCAUUUCUUUAUCUGGAAACACCAGAGGGAGAUUUCCUGCCUGAGAUAAAUGCUUGUUCUUGAUGAAAACGCAUGUUGUUCAGACCUUUGUAAAAUUACACAAUAGCUACUAAACCGCAGUUUCAAACCAUUUGUAGAUUGUACAGAGAAUGAGGUCUCCAGAAGAUACGGACAGCAUUCACAGCUUUUUCCCAACAUUGUAGGUAACUGAUUCUGUCCUUGACUUCCUUACUCAUAAGUAUUAUUUGACUCUCACUUUUCAGAAGAGUCAUAUGCAUUUUUAAUAUUUUCAGCCCCUCCUCAUUAUUAUGUGAUCUUAAGAUAGAAGUAUCAGGCUGCAUUGUCUUAUACUGCCUUCUUAUUUUCUGGGCAGAGAACCACAAGCAGAAACUUUGGAAAUCACACAUUAGCACAAUGUUCAAGUUAAACUAUGUCCAAAUAGCUUUGACUGCCAUGCACAUCAAAGCACUGGCAAGUCAUCCUGCAGUAUUCUUCCAAGCUUUGAUUGAUUUCCACUGUGGUGAAUCACGACCAUAAAAGAAGCUGUGUGAAUACUUUUUUUCCCCCUCCAUGCAGGAAACAAUAAAACAUCAAUAAAAAAUAAAGUCAAAAGAGAACUACAGAAGUGUUCUUCAGCGAGAUCUAAGUGGCCAGUUUUUUCCACCUGGGACAUACAGUUAAAACAUUUGUUAAUACAGAAGCACAGUCUGCUCACUGUGACUCACAUGCUAAAAUUUCAGGUACAGAUUUAACCCACUCCUAACUCUUUGCCACAUGACUAGGCGUGAAUCUCUUUAGUUUGGUGUAACUCACCCCAGAGCAUUCCAUCCUCUCUAGGAGAUCUACAAUGGACUUAUUACUUAGAGCAAAUUUUAAGAUAUGUCAAAAUCCUUGUCACUUAGCUCACGGAAAAUUCAACAUUUUAUAAGAUUAGAUAUCAAAGUUAAUGAAGGAAGUAUUGAUGUAUAUAAUUAGUCUUAUCACAACUUCUAAUACAGAGAUUUUGAAAUCUUUGCCUUUCUUUUAGAAGUUAUUUCAAUGACUGUCAGUGGAUUCACAGUAAAAGAGAAGAUCUGACUAUCCUCAAACAAAACAUAGACAUCUUGGGAUCCAGAUUUUAGAAAACAAACCAUUAUUUAAAUUGCAUGGAAAAAGACAUCUGUUUGCAAAAUCUUGGUAAAAUACUUUUUUCUCUAGAAGCAUUUCCUCUACAGCACUUUACUUACUUGCUUACAGAUUUAAACGUGUUUUUGAUCCCAGCUAUAUAAAGAAAUGUACUUCUCUCAGUGUAGGAGAUGCUCUUUCAAAUCCCAAUAUUAUGUCCCUUUCUUUAAGAAAAAAAAAAGAGCUAAAAUAUAUAUAAAGCAUAUAUUCAUAUAGUUAUAGUAAAACAGUCUAGGCCUGCUUACAGUGCUCAGAAUAGUACAGCAUACAUUUUAAAUUUUUUUCUUUAGUAAGAUUAUUUGAGUAUAAAUCUGAAUUAGAGGCUUGAACCUCAAGGGAGAAAAAGGAGGAAAAGCAAAGCUCAGUGAAAUACAAAGGGCAGAUAUCCUUUGGAUACAGUUGUAUGUGCUCGUUUAGGGGAAAAAAAAAAAAACCCUGCACCCCGGGAUGGCAAACGCAACAUCUGAGAUGAAAAUCUUUCACCAAAUUAUGACUUUUGUUUACCAAAAGCAACUGCAGCAACUACUGUACUAACUUUUAAAAAACAUAUCUUAAAGAUCAGCUAGUCAAAAGCAGGCAUGAAAAUAUUAGGAAGUUCAAGAUUUUUGUGCAGCCUUAGAUUUCACCUUCUUUGUCCAGUCUAUUGAGUAAAAUGAAUACAAUAGGGAUUUUUUUGAAAAUGUAAUUAGAGAUUGUACCACAGUGAAUACGCAUUGGGCCCCCUCCCUCUUUUUACUUGCUUUAAAAACCCUGAAAAAUUUUGCAUUAUAGCUUUACAACUUACCCAACUGUACUUCUUUGGGCUAAGUAAUCAGCUAGUGUUAGGGAUUUUGAGUGACUGUUUCUAUUGAGAGAAUAAGUGAUGACAGAAAAAAGAAAUUCCAGAACUCCUAC
Molecule: non-coding RNA, 13129 nt
Organism: Struthio camelus australis
Lineage: Eukaryota; Metazoa; Chordata; Aves; Struthioniformes; Struthionidae
Source: RefSeq, a predicted model, not a curated record